UGACUGGGUUUUAUAAUCGACU
Molecule: non-coding RNA, 22 nt
Filed under: Sclerotinia sclerotiorum
Lineage: Eukaryota; Fungi; Ascomycota; Leotiomycetes; Helotiales; Sclerotiniaceae
Source: RNAcentral